AGAAUCAACGCUGGCGGCGUGCCUAACACAUGCAAGUCGCACGAGAAAGGGGAGCAAUCCCUGAGUAAAGUGGCGCACGGGUGAGUAACACGUGAAUCAUCUACCUCCGAGUGGGGAAUAACCUAGAGAAAUCUGGGCUAAUACCGCAUAACACUUACGAGUCAAAGCAGCAAUGCGCUUGGAGAGGAGUUCGCGGCCGAUUAGUUAGUUGGCGGGGUAAUGGCCCACCAAGACGAUGAUCGGUAUCCGGCCUGAGAGGGCGCACGGACACACUGGAACUGAAACACGGUCCAGACUCCUACGGAGGCAGCAGUGGGGAAUUUUGCGCAAUGGGGAAACCCUGACGCAGCAACGCCGCGUGGAGGAUGAAAUAUCUUGGUAUGUAAACUCCUUUCGAUGGGGAAGAUUAUGACGUACCCAUAGAAGAAGCCCGGCUAACUUCGCGCCAGCAGCCGC
RNAcentral lists this ribosomal RNA (456 nucleotides) under uncultured bacterium. Its description in RNAcentral is "SSU rRNA". It matches the Rfam family "Bacterial small subunit ribosomal RNA", at positions 26 to 518 of the family's 1533-position model. The record is from RNAcentral.